This is a non-coding RNA of Camelina sativa (false flax), 2522 nucleotides long. The record is from RefSeq and is a predicted model, not a curated record. NCBI's taxonomy places the organism in Eukaryota, Viridiplantae, Streptophyta, Magnoliopsida, Brassicales, Brassicaceae.
AUAACUCCAAUAUGGUUAAUAUUUGGUCGAAUGCUUGAAGUUAGUGUUAGUGUGUUGCCUUUGUCAUUUUUCUAAUUAUAGUUUUAAAAAAAAAAACUAGAAAACAGAGUAAUAAAUAAGAGUUUUAUAAAUUUUUCUUUUUUUGAGAGAAUGGCGAUAGCGAUGGCGAUUCGAUCUAGGUUUUGAUAUGCUUUGGUCCAGUGUUUUGGAGAGGCGGAAGAUUGGUCUUUCGUGUGCUCUAGUCACGGUUAGUGAUUGGGGAUGGAUCGGAAAUCCAUCUCUGAUUUGGUCGGGAUUCAAUUGGGUUCGGCGGGACCUCUUUCUCCGUGGUGGAGAUUUGAUUGGAUCGAAUCUUAUUUGGUUAACUGUGGGCGAUUCGAUACUAGUCCAGUAUGGACGUGAUAGGAUCCGAUCCUUGAUUAUGUGGGGUUUGAUUUCUCGCGCUCUACUAGGUCGAGAUCUCCAUUUCCUUAUUUUCGAGGUUUCACUUGCAUCUACAAAUGAGAGGAUCUGUUGGUCUGCUAUUUAUGGUAUGGGCUUAUAUUUCUUAAUCUGGCGUAUUGGAAUGGGAUCUUUCUACGAUAUUGCUUUGAUUGUUUUGGGAUUGUUUUCGAUCGGAUAUGGGAUAUCAAUCUCGGAUAGAGUUUGUCAAUCCCGUGACAAAGGGGGGUGCUUUCAUGUGGUAUUUAUCCGAGAGGUUAAUUCGACAGAGUGGUUUCAUUGUCGUUCUAAUCUUCUCCUUCUCGUGAGUGUUUUGUUCGCUUGUCCGAAAGUGGUGUGUUCUGAAGUAUUGUAUUUUUCUUAUCUCCGGGUGUUCUGGUUGCUUCGUGGGUGGUUUACUAUGUCGCAGAUAGCAUUAAACAAAGGCAAAGCACCGUUGGUUCGAACUGAGAUAGUGCGGAUUGCUAAUUCAGUGUUGGCUCAGAGAAUACAACAAUUCUCACUGACUCUUAUUGGGCGCUUAAUGAACCCAAAUGUUCAGCAAAUGGAGUCACUGGUGGCAAAUCUCCCCAAGAUUUGGAAGCUGGAGGAUAAGGUGGUAGGAGCUGAUUUGGGUCAGGGUUUGUUUCAUUUUAACUUCGAGGUUGAAGAAGAGUUGCAGGCGGUUCUGAUGAAUGGCCCUUAUCAUUUUGAUGGGUGGAUGAUUGCGUUGGUGAAAUGGGAGCUUAUUAUCUCAUCCACUUAUCCUUCUGCAAUUAAUUUCUGGGUCAAGGUAACCGGUAUCCCCAUGCAUCUUUGGGAAGAGGCAACGUUGAGAGCUAUAGGCAAGAAGGUGGGUUUACUUAGGGAGAUUGAUGAGGAGACUGGAAGCUUCUGUGUGACGGUGAAUGGCUUUAACCCUCUCCUGUUUCAGAUGGUUGUUCCUUUUGAGUCUGGCGAUGAGGUCAUUGUUUCCCUUGAAUAUGAGAAGCUGACAGGUUUCUGUGAGCAUUGCUCUCGACUUACUCACGAUGUGAGAGAGUGCCCUGAGUUGAAGAAAGGGGCGGGGGAGAAGGCUGUGGAGCAGCAAGUGGAUAAACGGUUCCCUCCAAAACAUCAUCUUCAGGUCAAACAAGGGGGAUACAAAACUGAGGGUGGUUGGGAGAAACCAAGGAAGCAUGUUAAGAGGGCUUUAGACUUUCAGAGUCAGGAGGUUAUGCAUGGUGAUGGGGGUUCUUAUGGAUCCCGCUAUCAAGAGAGAUUCUCUGGCUCGGCGUGGGGCCAGAAAAAACAGUUUACAUCAGGUGAGUCUAAUGGUUCUGGUGGGCAGAGAGGUUCGCAGAAAUCAGGUGGUAACUUUGUGGGGUAGGUUCCUUCUUUCAGCCUGAACCGGAAGGUUUUGGGACCGGUGUGGCCAAAACCUCUGUAUAAGGUUAAACAGGAUGCUACGGUUAAGCAGGGUGUUGCUGCAAUGAGAUCUCAAGAGGAAGAGGGUGCUUUCGGUAAAGGUUCCACUUCUCAGGCUGUUGCAGUUGUUCCGGAAGAUAUACAUACCGGAAUGGUUAAGGAGGGUGAGGAGACUGAUUUUAUGGUGGAUAAUGAUGACUUGUUGGAGGAGGGUGAAUAUCCUGAUGGUCAUGAAGCGGCUUUAGCUGAAUAUAGGAUCGGUAAGGAGGAUGCCACUCUCGCUGAUCAGGGGAUGGAUUCUCAACCUGAUACGAAUGAUAGUCCACAAGGUAUGGGGAAAAAACAGAAGAAUCAAGCAAGACAGGAUAUUAUCUUACGUGGUAAACCAGCGGAUGGUGGUCGUCAACUCAGAAAAGGGACGGUGGCUCUCCCGAAACCACCGGCGGAAACGUGAAGAUACUGAGUUGGAACUGUCAGGGCAUUGGGGUUGAUCUGACAGAGAAGUAUUUGGGUGACUUGUGGAAACAACAUCGACCAGACAUUUUAUUUUUAUCCGAAACUAAGAAAUGUUUUUCUUAUUUGCAAAAAUUUCAGAAUAAGUUUGGUUUUAAUAAUUUGUAUACUAUUGAACCCUGCGGGGCUAGUGGUGGUUUAACAUUGUUUUACAAAGAUGAAAUAAAACUCUCAGUUCUUUA